UACGUAGGGGGCUAGCGUUGUCCGGAAUCAUUGGGCGUAAAGCGCGUGUAGGCGGUCCGGUAAGUCCGCUGUGAAAGUCGAGGGCUCAACCCUCGAAUGCCGGUGGAUACUGUCGGGCUAGAGUGCGGAAGAGGCGAGUGGAAUUCCUGGUGUAGCGGUGAAAUGCGCAGAUAUCAGGAGGAACACCAAUUGCGAAGGCAGCUCGCUGGGACGUGACUGACGCUGAGACGCGAAAGCGUGGGGAGCAAACAGG
RNAcentral lists this ribosomal RNA (253 nucleotides) under uncultured bacterium. RNAcentral describes it as "partial 16S ribosomal RNA". It matches the Rfam family "Bacterial small subunit ribosomal RNA", at positions 524 to 776 of the family's 1533-position model. The record is from RNAcentral.